Molecule: small nucleolar RNA, 139 nt
Organism: Eublepharis macularius
Lineage: Eukaryota; Metazoa; Chordata; Lepidosauria; Squamata; Eublepharidae
Source: RefSeq, a predicted model, not a curated record
AACCUCCCAGGAUCGCAUCUGGAGAGCUUCCCAUGCUCUUCCAGCUUCGGAUACGGGAGGGAGAGUAACUGUAGACAGAUACCCAUUCCUUUGCUGGCUUUGUAAUUGGCCAGUGAAUGGAAGAUACUCUGCAACAGGA